CUGAGCCACCUGACAGUAAGAAGCAUUUUAAAGACAGACAUGACAGACAAGCUCACUCAUCUGGGAACUAGAUAAACAUUGAGAACAGAAACUCAGCCUGGAUGGCCAUAAGACCAGGGAGGACAAAGAGUGGAAGUCAAGUGUAACCAUUUUUGAAGAUGCUGUCCAUGUGGCCUUCUACCAGAAGAUAGAUUAUCUCAUAGAGCAAGAGAAGGGGUUUCUGUUGGAUAUCUCAGACAUCUUUCUUCAGUCUUCUAGAAAACCUGCCAACUCUGUCAUGGAAGAUAAAACAUCUUCACUGAUCCUUGAACAAGAAGAACAUGGGUGUGAAGAUAUUGAGCUUGACAACACGUAGCACAAUUUUUU
Molecule: long non-coding RNA, 366 nt
Organism: Chinchilla lanigera (long-tailed chinchilla)
Lineage: Eukaryota; Metazoa; Chordata; Mammalia; Rodentia; Chinchillidae
Exons: 3
Source: RefSeq, a predicted model, not a curated record